RNAcentral lists this ribosomal RNA (394 nucleotides) under uncultured bacterium. RNAcentral's name for it is "bacterial SSU rRNA". It matches the Rfam family "Bacterial small subunit ribosomal RNA", at positions 28 to 429 of the family's 1533-position model. The record is from RNAcentral.
GACGAACGCUGGCGGCGUGCUUAACACAUGCAAGUCGAGCGGUAAGGCCCUUUCGGGGGUACACGAGCGGCGAACGGGUGAGUAACACGUGGGUGACCUGCCCUCAGCUCUGGGAUAAGCCUGGGAAACCGGGUCUAAUACCGGAUAUGACUCCAUGACGCAUGUUGUGGGGUGGAAAGCCUUGUGCGGCUGAGGAUGGGCCCGCGGCCUAUCAGCUUGUUGGUGGGGUGAUGGCCUACCAAGGCGACGACGGGUAGCCGGCCUGAGAGGCGACCGGCCACACUGGGACUGAGACACGGCCCAGACUCCUACGGGAGGCAGCAGUGGGAAUCUUGCGCAAUGGGCGAAAGCCUGACGCAGCGACGCCGCGUGAGGGAUGACGGCCUGGUGUAAC